GAUGAACGCUGGCGGCGUGCUUAACACGUGCAAGUCGAACGGAAAGGCCCUUGCUUGCAGGGGUACUCGAGUGGCGAACGGGUGAGUAACACGUGGGUGAUCUGCCCUGCACUUCGGGAUAAGCCUGGGAAACUGGGUCUAAUACCGGAUAGGACCAUCGUUUAGUGUCGGUGGUGGAAAGUUUUUUCGGUGUGGGAUGAGCUCGCGGCCUAUCAGCUUGUUGGUGGGGUAAUGGCCUACCAAGGCGUCGACGGGUAGCCGGCCUGAGAGGGUGUACGGCCACAUUGGGACUGAGAUACGGCCCAGACUCCUACGGGAGGCAGCAGUGGGGAAUAUUGCACAAUGGGCGCAAGCCUGAUGCAGCGACGCCGCGUGGGGGAUGACGGCCUUCGGGUUGUAAACUCCUUUCGUCAGGGACGAAGCGAAAGUGACGGUACCUGGAUAAGAAGCACCGGCUAACUACGUG
RNAcentral lists this ribosomal RNA (466 nucleotides) under uncultured bacterium. RNAcentral describes it as "partial 16S ribosomal RNA". It matches the Rfam family "Bacterial small subunit ribosomal RNA", at positions 28 to 507 of the family's 1533-position model. The record is from RNAcentral.